Molecule: ribosomal RNA, 520 nt
Filed under: uncultured Glomus
Lineage: Eukaryota; Fungi; Glomeromycota; Glomeromycetes; Glomerales; Glomeraceae
Description: SSU rRNA
Rfam family: Eukaryotic small subunit ribosomal RNA
Source: RNAcentral
AGCAGCCGCGGUAAUUCCAGCUCCAAUAGCGUAUAUUAAAGUUGUUGCAGUUAAAAAGCUCGUAGUUGAAUUUCGGGAUCGACGGGUCGGUCGCGCCUCUGGUGUGUACUGGCCCUGUCGGUUUCUCCCUUCUGACGAACCACGAUGUCAUUAAUUUGGUGCCGUGGGAAAUCAGGACUGUUACUUUGAAAAAAUUAGAGUGUUUAAAGCAGGCAUUCGCUUGAAUACAUUAGCAUGGAAUAAUGAAAUAGGACGUUUGAUCUUAUUUUGUUGGUUUCUAAGAUCGACGUAAUGAUUAAUAGGGAUAGUUGGGGGCAUUAGUAUUCAAUUGUCAGAGGUGAAAUUCUUGGAUUUAUUGAAGACUAACUACUGCGAAAGCAUUUGCCAAGGAUGUUUUCAUUAAUCAAGAACGAAAGUUAGGGGAUCGAAGACGAUCAGAUACCGUCGUAGUCUUAACCAUAAACUAUGCCGACUAGGGAUCGGAUGAUGUUAAUUUUUUAAUGACUCAUUCGGCGCCUUA